CCUACGGGAGGCAGCAGUGAGGAAUAUUGGUCAAUGGACGAGAGUCUGAACCAGCCAAGUAGCGUGAAGGAUGACUGCCCUAUGGGUUGUAAACUUCUUUUAUAUGGGAAUAAAACGUUCCACGUGUGGGAUUUUGUAUGUACCAUAUGAAUAAGGAUCGGCUAACUCCGUGCCAGCAGCCGCGGUAAUACGGAGGAUCCGAGCGUUAUCCGGAUUUAUUGGGUUUAAAGGGAGCGUAGGUGGAUUGUUAAGUCAGUUGUGAAAGUUUGCGGCUCAACCGUAAAAUUGCAGUUGAAACUGGCAGUCUUGAGUGCAGUAGAGGUGGGCGGAAUUCGUGGUGGAGCGGUGAAAUGCUUAGAUAUCACGAAGAACUCCGAUUGCGAAGGCAGUUCACUGGACUGCAACUGACACUGAGGCUCGAAAGUGUGGGUAUCAAACAGGAUUAGAUACCCCAGUAGUC
Molecule: ribosomal RNA, 460 nt
Filed under: uncultured bacterium
Lineage: Bacteria
Description: partial 16S ribosomal RNA
Rfam family: Bacterial small subunit ribosomal RNA
Source: RNAcentral